RNAcentral lists this microRNA precursor (113 nucleotides) under Brassica napus (rape). Lineage: Eukaryota; Viridiplantae; Streptophyta; Magnoliopsida; Brassicales; Brassicaceae. The record is from RNAcentral.
AGAGUAUAAUGCAGCCAAGGAUGACUUGCCGGAGGGUCGUACUCAUCAUGCAUAAUAAUAUUGGUGAUGAACAUAAUUCUGGCAAGUUGCCCUUCGGCUACAUUUUGCUCUCU